CUAGCGACUUCAGUAGUUUGAUCCUGGCUCAGGACGAACGCUGGCGGCGUGCCUAACACAUGCAAGUCGAGCGGAGCCAAUUAACAGAUCCCUUCGGGGUGACGUUGAGGAAGCUUAGCGGCGGACGGGUGAGUAACGCGUGAGUAACCUGCCUGUAAGAGGGGGAUAACACAGAGAAAUUUGUGCUAAUACCGCAUAUUGAGUAGAAUUCGCAUGAUUUCUACUUGAAAGAUUUAUCGCUUACAGAUGGACUCGCGUCUGAUUAGCUAGUUGGUGAGGUAACGGCUCACCAAGGCGACGAUCAGUAGCCGAACUGAGAGGUUGAUCGGCCACAUUGGGACUGAGACACGGCCCAG
RNAcentral lists this ribosomal RNA (356 nucleotides) under uncultured bacterium. RNAcentral describes it as "bacterial SSU rRNA". It matches the Rfam family "Bacterial small subunit ribosomal RNA", at positions 1 to 334 of the family's 1533-position model. The record is from RNAcentral.